This 119-nucleotide ribosomal RNA is filed under the name Pteropus alecto (black flying fox). The record is from RNAcentral. Lineage: Eukaryota; Metazoa; Chordata; Mammalia; Chiroptera; Pteropodidae.
GUCUAUAGCCCUGCCACCCUGAAUGUACUUGAUCUCCUCUGAUCUUGGAAGCUAAACAGGGUCAGGCCUGGUUAGUACUUGGAUGGGAGACCACCUAGGAAGACCAGGUGCUAAAAAAG